Long non-coding RNA from Dreissena polymorpha, 295 nucleotides. RefSeq lists it as uncharacterized. NCBI's taxonomy places the organism in Eukaryota, Metazoa, Mollusca, Bivalvia, Myida, Dreissenidae. The record is from RefSeq and is a predicted model, not a curated record. The transcript is spliced from 3 exons.
ACAUUGUUGUAUACUACAAAUUCCCUGUUUUGCUUUUAAGUUGGAGACUACAUAAGACUUUGACAGUUGGCGGGAAACGAUCAUCAACUGGAGAGAUGCCGGUAGAGGAAUUUCUGCGACUAAGUCAAGGGCCACUGGAUAAGGGUUGUUGAUGGCAAAACAGGUUGGAGACUACAUAAGACUUUGACAGUUGGCGGGAAACGAUCAUCAACUGGAGAGAUGCCGGUAAAAAAGAUGGCCAUAAAACAGUGACCGCUGAUUCGCAUUGAGUUCUUUCUUACAUAUUGGAUGACCU